AACGAACGCUAUCGGUAUGCUUAACACAUGCAAGUCGGACGGACUAAUUAGGGCUUGCUCCAAUUAGUUAGUGGCAGACGGGUGAGUAACACGUGGGAAUCUGCCCAUCAGUACGGAAUAACUUUUAGAAAUAAAAGCUAAUACCGUAUAUUCUCUACAGAGGAAAGAUUUAUCGCUGAUGGAUGAGCCCGCGUCAGAUUAGGUAGUUGGUGAGGUAACGGCUCACCAAGCCGACGAUCUGUAGCUGGUCUGAGAGGAUGAUCAGCCACACUGGGACUGAGACACGGCCCAGACUCCUACGGGAGGGAGCAGUGGGGAAUAUUGGACAAUGGGCGAAAGACUGAUCCAGCAAUACCGAGUGAGUGAUAAAGGCCCUAGGGUUGUAAAGCUCUUUUAGCAAGGAAGAUAAUGACGUUACUUGCAGAAAAAGCCCCGGCUAACUCCGUG
This 447-nucleotide ribosomal RNA is filed under the name uncultured bacterium. Its description in RNAcentral is "partial 16S ribosomal RNA". It matches the Rfam family "Bacterial small subunit ribosomal RNA", at positions 29 to 507 of the family's 1533-position model. The record is from RNAcentral.